This 3260-nucleotide long non-coding RNA is filed under the name Olea europaea subsp. europaea. Lineage: Eukaryota; Viridiplantae; Streptophyta; Magnoliopsida; Lamiales; Oleaceae. The record is from RNAcentral.
GGCUUCCUCCCCAAACUCCUCCACGCUUCAUCUCGGUCUUGAUCCGUAGCUAGUGCCCAGCGGUAUGUAUUUUCGAUUUUGCCAUUUUGGAGUUUAGUUUAUUGUAUUCUGUAACUUGGACCAUUUUAUAUAUUUUUAGAUUUUAAUACUUAAUAUGGAUUAUUGAGAUUUGAGAAUGGGUUGUGUUUGAGAAAUAGAAUACAAAUUUUAUUGAAGUUUGGAUUGUAUGGAUGAAACAGAAUAAAAAUUUUUACUCUUCUGUCCUUGUUUUGAGCCUUUCAAUUUGCAAAAUUCAAACCUCAUUAUUUAUUAUUUUUCUUUAUUUAUUUAUGUUUCGAUUUGUUGUCUGUUUGCCAUGCUGGUUGAAUUGGAAGUUAAUUUGGAUUCAUAUUUAUGGAAUUUUACUCUAAUGACAUUGCCACAUUACAAAUUUGGAUCUUCCGUUUAUUUAUUGGGUAUUUGGGUGUGAUAACAUUGAUUUUAUAAUUUACAUUUGCUAGGUACUGAAACAUUGUUUGAUGAAUUCCUGAAACUGUAUGACAUCCCAAAUCACUUGUCUAAGCAAAGUUUAUGCUCAACGUUAUUGUUACAGUUUAUUAGGUAUGAGGAAUUAGAAAGAAAAUUAAAAAAGAGAAAGAAAUUGUGUUGAAACUGAAGUAUGCAUUUUGCCUUUUUAACCUUCCUUCCUGGAGUGGAUGGGGUACUUCGAUUUAUGGGCUAUUGGCUAUAUGGAUGUGUAUUCUUUGAUGUCUGUUUUUCAGUUUCUUCUAUCCAAGGGACUUAUUUGAUCUUCUUUCUUCUUCUUGAUUUUGUCCGUUUAUUCGCAGUCAUAAUUGGUUGGAAGAGUUUCUAAGAAAAUGACAUUUGCAUUAUUAAUUCAUUUAUGCUGGAGAGAUCUCUGUCUAGUGUCUACCAACUAGAAAUAUACAUGUUAGUAAGUAAAUGUCUCCAUCUCUCUACUUAUUGCAUUGUCGGUAAAAUAUUAAAUUGAAUGUUGCCGUCUAUGUUGCCAUGACGAUCUAUUUGUUUAUGUUGCCUUGUUGGCUUAAUGAAUUUUAGCCUGUGCACCAAAAAAUUUUGGAUCAGUCCUUGGGCAGCAUCUACGUGGUGCAAUUUAUGUGUUUUUUGUGUCAAAAAUCAAUGAAAAACUGUCAAAUGUUGUAAAAGGAAAGUUUAUUAAGGUUUACAGGUGAAGGAAAAUUACACUUCUGCAGCCCAAGAAAUAAUUACUAUUAUAUCCCUGAUUUUGUCAUAUAAAUACAGGGUUUUGGUUUUUAAUAAAACAUACAUAAGUCUAUUCACUUCUCUCUGUUCUCGUCUCUUUUCUUCACUUUUAUAACACGUUAUCAGUACGAUAGGUUAAUUUUUCAAAGUUUAGUGAAGAUAAUAAUUUUUAUAAGUAUGAAUAUUUAUCACGUGUACCAAAAUUAAUUUGGUAGCAUGUGAACUAUUUCAAUAUACAUAUGCAUCAUAACGAGAUUGCUUCUUCUUCUCUACUUUUUAUCGGCAUGCAUAUUAAUUAUAAUUCACGUUUGUAUAUGUAAUCUGAACACAUAUUAAUUCACAUUUUUUUAUUUAUACACGAUUAUUUUUUUCACAUGUUAUUCAGUAUUAAUUAUGUCUUUUGAAUCUGCUACAUAUUAGUUCUAUCUUUAAUUUCUAGAUAUAUGAAAUCCAUAUACAUGUUUAGUAUCUUUUGAAUAUUAGUAAAAGAUUGAGCCAAUAAAUGAUUUAGCCAAUUUUGUUAACUUCUAUGUAUGAAGAUUAUUUUUUUAAUGCAUGUUUAGUAAUUAAUUUUUCUAUAUAAAUUCAUAUCAUGUCUAUAUGGUAAUUAAAUAUUUUUAGAUAUUAUUCUAUGAACUUCAAAUUAAGAAUUUAUCACCUUAUUAUUCCAAAAGUAGCAAAACAUUAUAAUUAAUAUUUUAGAAGCAUGUUAAUUUAAAAGCUAUCUAUUUUGUAUAGUUAAUUGAUGCUCCUGAAAUAGCACAAUAUUAUACUUAAUAUUCUUGAAGAAUAUUACUUGCUCCUGAAAAGCAUAAAUUAUAAUUUUCAAUAAUUUAGAAUAAAAUUGAUAUAUUGCUCUUAAAGAAGUAAUAGUAAAAUACAAUGUGCUCUUAAAGUAGCAUAUAUUUUGAAGAACAUAUUAUUUUAGUAUUUAUUCAUGAAGGAAAACACAUAAUUUAUGUCAUGAUUAACUAUUAUGUGAUAUCUAAUCAUAUUCUUUAAAACUAAUUGUAUUUUCUCUCGCUUUAUUUCGUAGUUAAUCAAAUGACAAAUAUCACAAAACUUGAGUUUGCUGCAUUUGACAUCUCUGACAAAAACUAUCUAUCAUGGGUACUUGACGCUGAUAUCCAUCUUGUCUGAAAAGGUUUGAGAGAGACAAUAAAAGAAGAAAACAAAGAAUCCUUGCAGGAUCGUGCAAAAGUACUCAUCUUUUUUCGUCAUCAUCUUCAUAAUGGACUGGAAAUUGAAUAUCUCACUUAAAAAGAUCCACAGGUUCUUUGAAAAAAAUUAACUGGAAUAUUUGAUCAUCAAAGGACUAUAGUCCUCCCCAAAGCCCGCUAUGAGUGGAUGCACCUUCGUUUGUAAGACUUCAAAACUUUAGUGAGUACAAUUCUGAAUUGUUCAGAAUAUGUUCAAAAUUGACAUUGUGUGGAAAAAACACUGAUGAAGACAUGUUAAAGAAAAAAUUACCUUUCACGCCUCGAAUGUGCUCCUAGAGCAGCAAUAUCGCGAGCUUGAUUUCAAAAAAUACUCAAAACUUAUAUCUUGUCUACCUGUUGUUGAACAGAAUAAUGAACUGUUGAUGAAAAAUCAUGGGUUACGUCCAACUGGUUCUGUACCAUUGCCUGAAACAAAUGAUAUUGCAUUGUCUGAAGCAAAUGUAAUAUGAAGACAAAGACAUGGACGUGGACGUGGAUUUCGACGUGCACGCGGAGUAAACCAUGGACGAAAUAAUCAACAAAGUUAUCAACAAUAAGACAACAAUUUCAAAAGGCACAAAGUAAAUAAAAGUAGCAUAUAGAAAAAGGUACACGAAGAAAGUUGUUUUAGAUGUGGAAUGAAAGGGCAUUGGACACGUACUUGUCGUACAGAAAAAACACCUUGUGGAUCUCUACCAAAAAUCAAUUAAGAGAAAAGUAGAGACAAAUUUUGCUGAUUAUGAUGGUCCAAUUUAUGUGACUCAUUUGGAUGUCUCCGAUUUCUUUGCUAAUCCAAAUGGGAAUAUUGACCAUUUGAUUGGGGGUGGUACGAUAGAA